GGGCCGGUAGCUCAUUUGGUAGAGCAUCGCGUUUGCAUCGCGAGGGUGGGGGGUUCGAAUCCUCUCCGGUCCA
RNAcentral lists this transfer RNA (73 nucleotides) under Candidatus Magasanikiibacteriota bacterium. Its description in RNAcentral is "tRNA-Ala". It matches the Rfam family "tRNA". Rfam says of the family: Transfer RNA (tRNA) molecules are approximately 80 nucleotides in length. Their secondary structure includes four short double-helical elements and three loops (D, anti-codon, and T loops). The record is from RNAcentral. Lineage: Bacteria; Candidatus Magasanikiibacteriota.